Molecule: unclassified non-coding RNA, 2367 nt
Filed under: uncultured fungus
Lineage: Eukaryota; Fungi
Description: sequence contains 18S rRNA gene, ITS1, 5.8S rRNA gene, ITS2, 28S rRNA gene
Rfam family: Eukaryotic large subunit ribosomal RNA (bases 1428-2367)
Source: RNAcentral
GGAAGGAUCAUUCACAAACGAGUGUUUUAUGGCACUCUUUAAAAAUCCAUAUCCACCUUGUGUGCAAUGUUUGUUGGGAAAGUCUUUUCUUUCCCUUCAUAAAUAUCAACCUAUAUCUUUAACAACAUUCGUCUGAUAACAUAUUAUGAAUAUACUUAAUUCAAAAUAUAACUUUCAACAACGGAUCUCUUGGCUCUCGCAUCGAUGAAGAACGCAGCGAAAUGCGAUACGUAAUGUGAAUUGCAGAAUUCAGUGAAUCAUCGAAUCUUUGAACGCAUAUUGCGCUCUUUGGUAUUCCGAAGAGCAUGCUUGUUUGAGUAUCAGUAAACACCUCAACCUCUCUUUUUUGAUAAAAAAAAGGGAGGGUGGACUUGAGCUAUCCCAACGACCUUCACCGGUAGGCGGGCGGCUUGAAAUGCAGGUGCAGCUGGACUUUUAUCUGAGCUAAAAGCAUAUCUAUUUAGUCCUCGUCAAACAGGAUUAUUACUUUUGCUGCAGCUAACAUAAAGGAUAAUUGUCCUCUUUGCUGACUGAUGCAGGAUUUUACGACACUUUAUGUGUUGUUCAACUCGAUCUCAAAUCAAGUAAGACUACCCGCUGAACUUAAGCAUAUCAAUAAGCGGAGGAAAAGAAACGGUAGCUAUACAUGACUCUGCUCCGUAGGUGAACCUGCGGAAGGAUCAUUGCCUUCGAAUGUACCCACAUCUGAGAAUCGUGUUUCGUGGCUUCGACGGGUUCGUUGCUUCGGGUUCUGAGUGUCCGUUUCCGUUUCGUCUCGUGUCGGUCCCAUUCGGGUCCGUCUCGUUUCGCUCGGUUCCGUAUUCUCGUUCCUUUCGGCUUCGGAUCCUCGGGGCGCCGUCCCGGCCUGGAUCUCCGGGUUCGGUUCGCGUCUUCGGUCGCGUUCCGCUCCCGGGUUCUUGGCUCCGGGCUCCGGCUUUUCUCGACUCACCCCCUCUCUGGUUGGCUCUGAAGUUUGACGUCGACUCGGCUUCGUCCGAUCGGCUUGAACCGAGACAACUCUUAACAAUGGAUAUCUUGGCUCUCGCAACGAUGAAGAACGCAGCGAAAUGCGAUACGUAGUGUGAAUUGCAGAAUUCCGUGAAUCAUCGAAUCUUUGAACGCAUAUUGCGCCCGAGGCUUGCCGAGGGCACGCCCGCCUCAGCGUCAGUGUUUCCCUCCCCUUCGAUCCCUUCGGGUUCGAUGGGUGGAUCUGGCCGUCCCGGAUUUCGAUUCGUUCGUUCCGGGUCGGUUUGAAGCGAUUUGCUAUCGUCCCAGUCCGCUUUCUGGGUUCACAUGGUAGGUGGCUUCAGCUGCGUCUUUGUGUUCCCUGGUCUGGUUCGUUGGCCCCGGAUUCCCUUGGUUUUGGGUUUCCACCUUUCGGUUUCCCCGCGUUCCCUUCGGGUUCGCGGCUUCCGAUUCCUGACUCUUGACCUGAGCUCGGACGAGGCUACCCGCUGAAUUUAAGCAUAUUACUAAGCGGAGGAAAAGAAACUAACCAGGAUUCCCCUAGUAACGGCGAGCGAACCGGGAAGAGCCCAUGUUGCGAAUCUGGCUGCCCCGCAGUCCGAAUUGUAGUCUCUCGACGCGUCCUCUGCAGUGGCCCGGGCCCAAGUUCCCUGGAACGGGACGUCAGAGAGGGUGAGAACCCCGUCGACCCCGGGUUUCACUGCUCCACGAGGCGUGUUCUUCGAGUCGAGUUGUUUGGGAAUGCAGCUCUAAGUGGGUGGUAAAUUCCAUCUAAGGCUAAAUACUGGCGAGAGACCGAUAGCGAACAAGUACCGCGAGGGAAAGAUGAAAAGAACUUUGAAAAGAGAGUUAAACAGUGCUUGAACUUGUUAAGAGGAAACCGACUAGUGGCCGUGGGUGCGCCCUGGUUUUUGGCCGUCCCCUGGGGCGGCUUCCUAACGCAGGGCGCUGGUCAGCGUGGGUUGGGUUCCGGGGACAAACGCGUCCUUUGUUGGGCGCCGCUGCCCGGUCCCCGACCGAGGUACGAAGCCUGCGCGCAAGCGACCUUCGGGAUCUGCAGGCUCGGGACGCUGGCGGAAGGUUACUACUCGACCCGUCUUGAAACACGGACCAAGGAGUCUAACAUGUAUGCGAGCCGGUGGGCGGCAAACCCAUGAGGCGCAAGUAACCUGACUGGUGGGAGUCCGUACGGACGCACCAUCGACCGACCAUGAUCUUCUGUGAAAGGUUUGAGUACGAGUAUACCUGUUGGGACCCGAAAGAUGGUGAACUAUGCCUGAGCAGGGCGAAGCCAGAGGAAACUCUGGUGGAGGCUCGUAGCGAUACUGACGUGCAAAUCGUUCGUCAGACUUGGGUAUAGGGGCGAAAGACUAAUCGAACCAUCUAGUAGCUGGUUCCCUC